RNAcentral lists this ribosomal RNA (1397 nucleotides) under uncultured bacterium. RNAcentral's name for it is "bacterial SSU rRNA". It matches the Rfam family "Bacterial small subunit ribosomal RNA". The record is from RNAcentral.
AGAGUUUGAUCCUGGCUCAGGAUGAACGCUAGCUACAGGCUUAACACAUGCAAGUCGAGGGGCAGCAUGGUCUUAGCUUGCUAAGGCCGAUGGCGACCGGCGCACGGGUGAGUAACACGUAUCCAACCUGCCGUCUACUCUUGGACAGCCUUCUGAAAGGAAGAUUAAUACAAGAUGGCAUCAUGAGUCCGCAUGUUCACAUGAUUAAAGGUAUUCCGGUAGACGAUGGGGAUGCGUUCCAUUAGAUAGUAGGCGGGGUAACGGCCCACCUAGUCUUCGAUGGAUAGGGGUUCUGAGAGGAAGGUCCCCCACAUUGGAACUGAGACACGGUCCAAACUCCUACGGGAGGCAGCAGUGAGGAAUAUUGGUCAAUGGGCGAGAGCCUGAACCAGCCAAGUAGCGUGAAGGAUGACUGCCCUAUGGGUUGUAAACUUCUUUUAUAAAGGAAUAAAGUCGGGUAUGCAUACCCGUUUGCAUGUACUUUAUGAAUAAGGAUCGGCUAACUCCGUGCCAGCAGCCGCGGUAAUACGGAGGAUCCGAGCGUUAUCCGGAUUUAUUGGGUUUAAAGGGAGCGUAGAUGGAUGUUUAAGUCAGUUGUGAAAGUNUGCGGCUCAACCGUAAAAUUGCAGUUGAUACUGGAUAUCUUGAGUGCAGUUGAGGCAGGCGGAAUUCGUGGUGUAGCGGUGAAAUGCUUAGAUAUCACGAAGAACUCCGAUUGCGAAGGCAGCCUGCUAAGCUGCAACUGACAUUGAGGCUCGAAAGUGUGGGUAUCAAACAGGAUUAGAUACCCUGGUAGUCCACACGGUAAACGAUGAAUACUCGCUGUUUGCGAUAUACAGCAAGCGGCCAAGCGAAAGCGUUAAGUAUUCCACCUGGGGAGUACGCCGGCAACGGUGAAACUCAAAGGAAUUGACGGGGGCCCGCACAAGCGGAGGAACAUGUGGUUUAAUUCGAUGAUACGCGAGGAACCUUACCCGGGCUUAAAUUGCAGAUGAAUUACGGUGAAAGCCGUAAGCCGCAAGGCAUCUGUGAAGGUGCUGCAUGGUUGUCGUCAGCUCGUGCCGUGAGGUGUCGGCUUAAGUGCCAUAACGAGCGCAACCCUUGUUGUCAGUUACUAACAGGUUCCGCUGAGGACUCUGACAAGACUGCCAUCGUAAGAUGUGAGGAAGGUGGGGAUGACGUCAAAUCAGCACGGCCCUUACGUCCGGGGCUACACACGUGUUACAAUGGGGGGUACAGAGGGCCGCUACCACGCGAGUGGAUGCCAAUCCCCAAAACCUCUCUCAGUUCGGACUGGAGUCUGCAACCCGACUCCACGAAGCUGGAUUCGCUAGUAAUCGCGCAUCAGCCACGGCGCGGUGAAUACGUUCCCGGGCCUUGUACACACCGCCCGUCAA